This 870-nucleotide long non-coding RNA is filed under the name Pongo abelii (Sumatran orangutan). Its description in RNAcentral is "lincRNA". The record is from RNAcentral. Lineage: Eukaryota; Metazoa; Chordata; Mammalia; Primates; Hominidae.
UGAGGAUAAGGAACGUGGUGUUGCAGUUCAAACCAUUUCCAGCCAAAAUGGACUCUGGUCACAAACAAAUAGUCAUAACAAUCCAAACUGGUGGCUGAAUAGAGUUCUGAAGUUUUGAGAAAGAGGUGAUUCAGCUCAAAAGUUUUCUUUAGAAUCUACUUCCUAGUACCCACCAGCUUAGGUUGAGUUUCCCAGAAUCAGAUCUGUGUUGGAGAUUUGUGUGUAUGAUGUUUAUUGGGGAGCUUCCCCAGAAACAACACCUUUAAGUACAGGAAACAAUUGAACAGGGACAAAAAUCCUACAGUGAUAAAAUUAUAACAGAAGUCGUAGGUAAUCCUUUGGGGCUCUCUGGAGCUAAAACAGCUCUUCAAAAUUAUCUAUAAAUUGAUGCAAGAGGAACACAUCUUCAUACUUCACGUUAAACAGUCAUCGGGCACAGGCUACCAUAGGAGAAAGCUUGUAACCUUGGAUGAAGUAGGUUCCUUUGACAGAAAGCAAUUCCAGAAGAGAGAUGUACCUAUGAGAUAACAGUAGCCAGCACUCCCAGAAGCUCACAAGUGACUGCCUUUGUCCUGACAGUCAAAGGCACCUGAACAGUGCACUAUGCCAUCCAGUACAACCCGUUUCUACUUUUAUCUGUUUAUUUUCAGACAAUAAUUAGAAUAAGCUCCAAGAGAACAGAGACCUUGUCUAUCUCAUACAUUGAUAUCCCCAGAAUUUAGAACAGCUCAGUAUUUACUCAAUAAGUAUUUGUUGACUAAGUGACUGAAAUGAAUGAGUAAUUAAAGUAUAUUUAUAGGUGCCACAUUUUGUAAACUAUCACUUGGCAUAUCACAGAGAAUACUAAUAAAUGAAAACACAGAUUGGGAA